AUUGAACGCUGGCGGCAUGCCUUACACAUGCAAGUCGAACGGCAGCACGGGGCAACCUGGUGGCGAGUGGCGAACGGGUGAGUAAUACAUCGGAACGUGCCCGGAAGUGGGGGAUAACGUAGCGAAAGUUACGCUAAUACCGCAUAUUCUGUGAGCAGGAAAGCAGGGGAUCGCAAGACCUUGCGCUUUCGGAGCGGCCGAUGUCGGAUUAGCUAGUUGGUGGGGUAAAAGCUCACCAAGGCGACGAUCCGUAGCUGGUCUUAGAGGAUGAUCAGCCACACUGGGACUGAGACACGGCCCAGACUCCUACGGGAGGCAGCAGUGGGGAAUUUUGGACAAUGGGCGAAAGCCUGAUCCAGCCAUGCCGCGUGAGUGAAGAAGGCCUUCGGGUUGUAAAGCUCUUUCGGACAGAAAGAAAUCGCAUCGGCUAAUACUCGAUGUGGAUGACGGUACUGUCAUAAGAAGCACCGGCUAACUACGUGC
RNAcentral lists this ribosomal RNA (483 nucleotides) under uncultured Rhodocyclus sp. RNAcentral's name for it is "bacterial SSU rRNA". It matches the Rfam family "Bacterial small subunit ribosomal RNA", at positions 30 to 508 of the family's 1533-position model. The record is from RNAcentral. Lineage: Bacteria; Pseudomonadati; Pseudomonadota; Betaproteobacteria; Rhodocyclales; Rhodocyclaceae.